ACGGAAGGCAGCAGUGGGGAAUAUUGCACAAUGGGGGGAACCCUGAUGCAGCAACGCCACGUGUGGGAAGAAGCAUUUCGGUGUGUAAACCACUGUCGUGAGGGAAUAAUGCUUGGCUCCGGCCAAGUUGAAUGUACCUCGAAAGGAAGCACCGGCAAACUUCGUGCCAGCAGCCGCGGUAAUACGAGGGGUGCAAGCGUUGUUCGGAAUCACUGGGCGUAAAGGGAGCGUAGGCGGAGACGCAAGCAGUCUGUACAAUCCCGGGGCCCAACCCCGGACCUGCAGUCCGGACUGCACCUCUUGGAUAGUUCAGGGGCAAGCGGAAUUCCUGGUGUAGCGGUGGAAUGCGUAGAGAUCAGGAAGAACACCGAUGGCGAAGGCAGCUUGCUGGGGACUUAUCGACGCUCAUGCUCGAAAGUGCGGGUAGCAAACAGGAUUAGAUACCCUGGUA
This 451-nucleotide ribosomal RNA is filed under the name uncultured Fibrobacter sp. Its description in RNAcentral is "bacterial SSU rRNA". It matches the Rfam family "Bacterial small subunit ribosomal RNA", at positions 341 to 792 of the family's 1533-position model. The record is from RNAcentral. Lineage: Bacteria; Pseudomonadati; Fibrobacterota; Fibrobacteria; Fibrobacterales; Fibrobacteraceae.